UACGGCUCAGUAACACGUGGAUAACUGCCCUAAGGAAGGGGAUAACCUCGGGAAACUGAGGAUAAUACCCUAUAGGAUACCGAUGCUGGAAUGCCCGGUAUCCCAAAGCUCCGGCGCCUUAGGAUGGAUCUGCGGCCGAUUAGGUCGUUGUUGGGGUAACGGCCCAACAAGCCGAUAAUCGGUACGGGUUGUGGGAGCAAGAGCCCGGAGUUGGAUUCUGAGACACGAAUCCAGGCCCUACGGGGCGCAGCAGGCGCGAAAACUUUACAAUGCGGGCAACCGUGAUAAGGGAACCUCGAGUGCCUGUACAUGCAGGCUGUCUGGGUGUCUAAAACACACCCAAAGAAAGGGCCGGGCAAGACCGGUGCCAGCCGCCGCGGUAAUACCGGCGGCUCGAGUGGUGGCCACUUUUAUUGGGCUUAAAGCGUUCGUAGCUGGGUUGUUAAGUCUCUUGGGAAAUCUGGCAGCUUAACUGUCAGGCGUCUAAGAGAUACUGGCAAUCUAGGAACCGGGAGAGGUGAGGGGUACUUCGGGGGUAGGAGUGAAAUCCUGUAAUCCUCGAGGGACCACCUGUGGCGAAGGCGCCUCACCAGAACGGCUUCGACAGUGAGGGACGAAAGCUGGGGGAGCAAACCGGAUUAGAUACCCGGGUAGUCCCAGCCGUAAACGAUSCGCGCGUUUUGUCGAUGACCACGAGUCAUCGAGGUGCSGAAGGGAAACCGUGWAACGCGCCGCCUGGAAG
This 742-nucleotide ribosomal RNA is filed under the name uncultured Methanoculleus sp. Its description in RNAcentral is "bacterial SSU rRNA". It matches the Rfam family "Archaeal small subunit ribosomal RNA", at positions 84 to 834 of the family's 1478-position model. Lineage: Archaea; Methanobacteriati; Methanobacteriota; Methanomicrobia; Methanomicrobiales; Methanomicrobiaceae. The record is from RNAcentral.